Molecule: non-coding RNA, 319 nt
Organism: Pseudonaja textilis
Lineage: Eukaryota; Metazoa; Chordata; Lepidosauria; Squamata; Elapidae
Source: RefSeq, a predicted model, not a curated record
CUGCUAUAUUUAUACAAUCCAAUCAAGGCAAGAUGAGGUAAUUAGUCCGGCAAGGCAGGAGCAAUAAUUCCAGAUGUGAAAGUAUGGCAGUAAUUCAACUCAGUUGGGAGGAUGCUAGGAACACAGAUAACCAAACUCAACACAAGAUAAACUCACGUUUGUUCCAAGCAACCGCAGCUCUCAGCUGCCUCUUCUUUAAACUCUCUUCCCAGGUGUGCCUAAUGAAGGGAAUCAGGGCCCUUUCCUCCCCCGUAAGCCACGCAACCCACGUUCCUCCCUUCUCCGUUCUUCCCUGUGUGCCCCAAGAUGAAGAGGGGGU